UCAAAGGCUCUUUUCAGAGCCACCACAUGCUCAAGUAAAGUAGCUGU
This is a non-coding RNA of Callithrix jacchus (white-tufted-ear marmoset), 47 nucleotides long. Lineage: Eukaryota; Metazoa; Chordata; Mammalia; Primates; Cebidae. The record is from Rfam.